Chinchilla lanigera (long-tailed chinchilla) is the source of this 707-nucleotide long non-coding RNA. RefSeq lists it as uncharacterized. The record is from RefSeq and is a predicted model, not a curated record. NCBI's taxonomy places the organism in Eukaryota, Metazoa, Chordata, Mammalia, Rodentia, Chinchillidae. The transcript has 3 exons.
GUCAAACAGGGGUCUGUUAUGAUUUCCAGGGCUGAGGGGCCCAGGAAGGGCUUCUUCCAGGGGCUACGCAGAGAAUCAGAGCUCCUCUUAUAGAACACAGAUGCUCCAUUGGAAGGAAGCAGUUCCGAUCAAAAGUUGGGCAGCAUCCAGGGUCAUGAACUUAGAUCCUAAAAUAUCUGUGACCAGACCAGCCGGCAAGGAUUUCCUGCCGACCCAGAAGCUGAAAGGAUUCUAUGUUGGCACACACAGAACCACACUGCUGCUCACACCGCACGUGUCUAGCAGAGCUUCCAGGCUUUCAAACAGACAAAAUAACAGCAAAGACAUCAGAAUUAUGGCUGAAGGCGAAUCUGAGAAGAGUCGGGGCUCAGGCUGGAGAUGCAAUAGCCAGGAUUGCAAGAUAAACAACAACUUGAGAUUAUCGGUAAUAACACGGCUGGCCUAGUGAGCCCAGACAGGCAUCAGCAAUCAUCUCUCGGAAAUCAAGUUAUCCCUUAAGUCAAAAGGAUUCCUCUGGAGCUACAAAACCAGAACCGAGAUAAAGGUUGACUGCACCCUGGAGCAUCUCAGCUAAUCCUGAAAAGCUGGCCUUGUGCCUUGGUAAGCAAACCAGUCUGAACCCCUGCUCCAGAGUGUGCUACCUCCAGUUACUCAGGCUGGGGCCCUUUUACUUCCUCAGAACUUCUAAUUCUGUCUAAUAAACCUAC